Molecule: long non-coding RNA, 396 nt
Filed under: Populus trichocarpa (black cottonwood)
Lineage: Eukaryota; Viridiplantae; Streptophyta; Magnoliopsida; Malpighiales; Salicaceae
Description: long non-coding RNA (PTRI_LNC001899)
Source: RNAcentral
GAAAAUUAAAGAUUUGAAAUAACGUAAGUCGACUUAGUCUAAUACAAAAUAAAUAGAGAGAGAGAGAGAGAGUAAACGAAGGAAGGAUCAAGAUUUAUUAUUUAGGCAUAGACUUUAGUUUCUGUACACACAUGUUCAUCGACUAAAUUCCAUAAAGCAAAAUAGAAAUUGGAAAGAAAACCAGAAUGUCAAAUGCAUGCAGCAACAAGGUGUUAUUAUUUAGGAAUAAAAUUUAGUUUCUGUACACACAUGUUCAUCGACUAAACUCCAUAAAGCAAGAACAUAAAGGCAUUAAGAGAUAGCUUCAGUACUGUACCCGAUCCAGCUUGUUCCAUCCUCUAUGACGAUCCCAGCAUUGAUUACGUUUUCGGAUUUACCAAACCCAGUCCAACCAUC